CGCCCUCCCUCCGCCGCCACUCACGACUACCGUACGGGACGGACGACGGACGAAGGUAAAGGUAAAGUUAAGUUAGGUCUAAGUGGACGACGAACGUCUACGAACCACGACCAGUCGCCGCGGUGGAGGAGUAGAAGGUCCUCUGGAUUGUAAACUUCUUUAUUCUGGAAGAAACCAUUUUUACUUAAAAUUGGACUGACGGUACCAGAUGAAUAAGCACCGGCUAACUCCGUGCCAGCAGCCGCGGUAAUAC
RNAcentral lists this ribosomal RNA (253 nucleotides) under uncultured bacterium. RNAcentral describes it as "partial 16S ribosomal RNA". The stretch from base 123 to 253 matches the Rfam family "Bacterial small subunit ribosomal RNA", at positions 401 to 526 of the family's 1533-position model. The record is from RNAcentral.